Long non-coding RNA from Ictalurus punctatus (channel catfish), 435 nucleotides. NCBI's taxonomy places the organism in Eukaryota, Metazoa, Chordata, Actinopteri, Siluriformes, Ictaluridae. The record is from Ensembl.
GGAAGUUGCAUCAGUAGUCUGUACGGAGUCUCUGUGUCCGGGAAGACGAUGCUCCAGAGAGAAGACGGGUUCUGAUUGCAGGAACACGGACUGCACUUCUCCAGCACGCUAUUCACUGCGGUCUGUGAAGCCGAGACGUUUUCCUGAAUACUGAUGUUCCACUUUUCAUCCAGAGCCAAAAUUAGCUCAUGGGACGGACUAUGUGAGCGACGGAUCGCUAUACGGAUCGUGUGGGUGUGGCUUACAUGGUGAAGAGACGGCACCAGGAUGCACUAUGGGAAGAAGGCGAGCCGGCGGAGGACGUGUGAUGCUCUGGGCAAAAUGUUCUGAUGGGAAACCUUGUCUCCUGGCAUUCACGUGGAUGUUACUUUGACACGUACAACCUACCUAAAUACUGUUGCAGACCAGGUACACCCCUCCAUGGUAACGGUAUUC